AAUUUGCUUACAUUUAGAGCUGGUGACUUCUCACUGUUGUAGUGAACUGAAAUAAAAAAUGAGCCGUUCAGUCAUCUUUAUAUACAUGUAUAAAAAUAGGCAAGUAUAAACAUGGCCAUCCUAAAUCUAAGGCCCUAUACUUAUACUGAGACCCAUCUAAAGUAAAAUUUUUUUUCAAACAUAGAUAAUAUGAGGACUUUCCUUAUUAAUUCUUACUGUCAAACAAUACUUAAUUUAAUAUGGUUUUAUCCAGACAUGAGUCUAGCACGAUCUGUCUACCCUGAAUCUUCCUCUAUCGGAUAUAUACCGAUUUCAGCUCAAGUAGUAAAGUUUGUCACAAAGUACGGGCUCCCCACUCCUUACUCCUUCCCCAGACUGGGAUAUGCCUACCUUCAUAUUUGAACUCACCUGAUAUUUCAGCCUUCACUUUGGUGCUGAAGAAUAAAGCAUAUUAAGCUUUUGCCUGGGAGUUCCCACUGUGGCUCAGGGGGUUAAGAACCCAACAUAGUGUCCCUAAGGAUGCAGGCUCCAUUCGUGGCCCAGCUCAGUGGGUUAAGGUGGUAUUGCUCUAAGCUAUGGCAUAGGUUGCAGAUGUAGCUCAGUUCUGGUAUUGUUAUGGUUGUGGUAUAGGCUAGCAGCCACAGUUCCAAUUCAACCCCUAGCCCAGGAACUUUCAUAUUUCACAGGUGGGACCCUAAAAGGAAAAGAAAACAAAAAACUUUUGCCUGGGGAUUGCAGAGAGCCGAGAAAAUACAAGAAGGCAAGGAAGGGAGCUUGCCUGAACGGUACAAUUCCGAGGGUAGUCUCCUAAUCAGAAAAAGAGGCUUGCCUGAACCGUGCCGUUCCGAGGACAAGCUCCUAAUCAGGAAAAAGGACCUGUCUGAACGGUACAAUUCCGAGGGCAGGUUCCUAAACAAGGGGAUGCCUGCCUGUACAGCACAGUUCCGAGGACAGGCCCCAGAAUACAAUAAGGCUCGCCUGCUGACAUAGGUGGAAAACUAAAUUUCCCAGGAAAUAAUUUCCAUUUUGUGUUACUGAGUGGGGAUUGUUCCAUGGAUAACUCAGUCUUCUCUGUUAUUCACUGGCUAUUCAGUUUUUCUCAGUCUUUCCUGAUUAUUUACUUAUUAUUCUUAUUUCCCAUUCUUAUUGUCCUGUGGUGAUUUGUGACUUAACAAAAUUACAAUAGUAUAAUAAAAAUUUCGUCCUGAAGGACUGUUCCCCUAUUUAAAUCCAACUUAGUUAAAACAUAGUGUUUAUCUAUUAACUAGUUAUAUAGUAAAUUCUAGAGUUAGGAUUUUAAUGAGGUCCAUAGAAGUUAGCCAUAUCUUAUCCAAAAAACCUAGCAGUGGGUUUUGUCUUUGAUUUUAAAAGCCUUUUAGUGAUAGCUAGUUUAAUUAAGUUGGUUCAUAUUUACUUGCACUGUCUCCCUGCCAUAACGCUUUGAAGAUAAGCACCAGUCUACAAACAAAGUUUGUAAAUGCUAAAUUCUUGUGUUUUAUGGCCUCUUCAAAGUACUCACCAAGUUUAGUUAAGAUAGAGAUCUUAAAACAGGAUGCAUAGCUGCUAUACCAUGUAAUAGUUAACCAAUGUACUUUUAACACUGUAAUGUAGUCUAUAGUGAAAAACUGUCUAUAUAAUCAACCACUGUUGCCAAUAAAAUUUGAGCAGUCCAGCGCCCUAAAAGAAGGGACAAAGAGGCUGUCUCCAUAAUUGUACAUUCGCCGACGCCGCAUCCCUCUCUGAUGGGGAAGUGCAUGCUCCCUGGCCGCCAGAGCUGGCCUCUGGCAGGGGAUGAGCAGGUUCAGUAUCAUUUUUCUAAUAUCCCUGUACUAGGGUCUCAAUGUCAGGUCAUGCUGCCUUUUGCAUUGUCUCUUCCUGCCUAGGAGACAAUGCAAAUGUCUCUUUAUACUUUUAGUGACUAGAUCCUGCCCAGUUAGUGUGUGACUAGGAUGUGGUACCACAGCCCUGAUGUUCCAUGGCCGAGUCUUGCCCCCUUAACCCCUGGAUCAAGAGGAAAAACCUUUGCCUGAUAAAGACAUGCCCAUUUCAACCAUCUGCCAAACCAUUCUCUAUGCUGACCCAUCUCUGACUAGUCAGACUAAAGAUCUAUCUUUAUACCUGCUUGAUAUAGGUCUCUGGCCACCUGCCUAAAUGCCAUACUUUAUCUGUUUUCUUCCCCUGGCAUAAGACCCUGUUCCCAGGGGAGUACCUCUGGACAGCUCAUGGAUUCUUUUUUUUAAUUACUCAAUGAAUUUUAUUACAUUUAUAGUUGUACAACCAUUAUCAUGACCAAAUUUUAUAGGAUUUCCAUUCCAAACCCCCCAUGCAUCCCCCCACCCCCCAAACCAUAAGUUUUUCAAAGUCUGUGAGUUAGUAUCUGUUUCGCGAAUAAGUUCAUUGUGUCCUUUUUUUUUUUAGAUUCCACAUGUAAGUGAUAGCAUUUGAUGUUGGUGUCUCUCUGUCUGACUGACUUCACUUAGUAUGAUAAUUUCUAGGUCCAUCCAUGUUGCAAAAAAUGCUGUUAUUUCAUUCCUAAUGGCUGAGUAAUAUUCCAUUGUGUAUAUGUACCACAUCUUCUUUAUCCACUCCUCUGUCAAUGGACAUAGAGGUUGUUUCCAUGUCCUGACUAUUGUAUAGAGUACUACAAUGAACCGUGGAGUAUAUGUAUCUUUUUGAGUCACGGUUUUCUCUGGAUAGAUGCCCAGGAGUGGGAUUGCUGGAUCAAAUGGUAAUUCUGUUUUUAGUUUUCAGAGGCAUCUCCAUACUGUUUUCCACAGUGGUUGCACCAAUUUACAUUCCCACCAACAGUGUAAUAGGGUUCCCUUUUCUCCACACCCUCUCCAGCACUUAUUGUUUGUAGACUUUAUGAUGAUGGCCAUUCUGGCUGGUGUAAGGUGGUACCUCAUAGUGGUUUUGAUUUGCAUUUCUAUAACGAUGAGUGAUGCUGAACAUCUUCUCAUGUGUUUUUUGGCCAUCUAUAUGUCUUCUUUGGAGAAUUGUCUGUUUAGAUCUUUUGCCCAUCAUCUCAUAGAUUCAUCAAUCAUGUUUUGCUGCCCCCAAGACUAGUGAUGUGCUGUCCACACUAAGAGAGCGUGUAAGGUAUUAUUAAUCAUUGUUCUGGAAAAAUAAUUAUGCUGGAUGCCCAGGGCUGGGCAUUCUACAAAGGUCUGAGCCAAUGGUGAGCCCUAGACCAAAAACAGACAAACCAGAAGGAAAGGCCACUGAUCUGCGGGCUAGCCAGCAGCCUUGGAGGCUGGUUAAAAAAAUGAUUGGAGAGUUCCCAUUGUGGCUCAGCAGGUUAAAAACCCAACAUUGUCUCUGUGAGGAUGCAGGUUCAAUCCCUUACCUCCAUCAGUGGGUAAAGGGUCCAGAGUGUCCACAAGCUGAGGCACAGUUGCAGAUGUGGCUUGGAUCUGGUGUUGCUAGGGCUGUGGCAUAGGUCACAGUUGCAGCUCUGAUUCAACCUCUAGCCUGGGAACUUCCUUAUGCCAUAGGUGAGGUCAUAAAAAUAAUAAUAAUAAUAAAAAAAAAAGAUGAUGGAGCCAACAUCACAGUGUGGAAUUUAAAAUAACAUGUGUAGGAAAACUGCCAGUUAGUAGUGUGUGCUGCAGAUGAAAGACUGAAUCAGAGCUGAAGAAGCUAGGAUGAUCAAGAAGGCUGGUACGUGAAAAAUGGAGAAUCAGAUGAACAUCAGUAAAAGUCAAAGUUUGCCUGACCAAGAGCCCUGAGACCUGGCUGCACUGUCAGUUCCUGCAGCUGCCUCCCCACUCCCCAGACUCCCAUUUGAUUCAUACAAUGUUCUCUGUAUUGUUCCUGUUCAUGAAUUCCUUAUAAUCAAAGUUGCCUGACUAUGAACUUACAACCAUGCCUAUUCAACACUUCCUCUUAGACACCCAAGAUCAUGAACAGGACCAUGGCUCCCCAGUCUCUAUUCCUUCAUUUCCCCUGGACACCAAGUUUGCCUGCCUGAGACAUCUAUGAAAUCAGGUCCUCUUCUCCACUCGAGUUGAUGUUACGUGGUUCACUCCUCGGUAUGGUCUCUCCAUUUCAGGAGCUACCACCACCUCCAAAGUGCCCUCUCUGUUACUCAUCCACUCGACCUCCACAUAACUCAGUACUACUCAAUGAUAAAUAAUGUUCCUCUGGACAAGUAAUAUGAAAAGAAAGCAUAACAAGAAAAAAACAGAUUCUACUCAUCACAGCAACUAAAUCUCUAAGGUAUCCAGAAAUGAAUCUAACCCAACAUGAGCAAGAAGUGCAAGAGGAAAUAUACAAAAGAUUAAAAGACUUGAAUAAAUGAGAAACAGAACAUAUGCACAGAAAGGAUCAUUACUGUCAAGAUGUCAUACUCCCCAAAUUACCUAUACAUGCACUGCAAUUCUCAUCAAAAUUCCAGGAGUUCCUGCUGUGGCACAAUGGGAUCAGCAGCCUGUCUGCAGCACCAGGACACAGGUUCGAUCCCUGGCCUGGCCCAGUGGGUUAAAGGAUCUGGCAUUGCCUCAGCUGCAGCAUAGGUCACAACUGCAACUCAGAUCCGAUCCCUGGCCCAGACACUCCAUAUGAUGCGGGGCGGCCAGAAAAAGAAGGAAAAAAAUUCCAACAGGGUGUGUGUCUGCCUGUGUAUGACUUGACAAAUUAACUUCCAAACUUCUAUAGAAAACACAACGACCAAAAGUAGCCAAGAAAAUGUAUGAAGAGGAACUUGGGGAAACUUGCCCUACCAGAUAUCUAGAUUUAUUAUAAAGCUAUAUUGUCAAGACAGUGAAGUGCUGAUGGAAGGCUCUAAAAAGAAGCAAAGAAACACACUAGAGAACCCACAAACAAACACAUGCACACUGAAAAUUAGAUACCAACAGAAGAUGCAUCACAAACCACAGAAAAGGUGGAGUCAAAAACAGAACAGGAUUCCUACCUUAAAGACACUAAAAACAGCAAAUGUGAUUAAAGGUGACCGAGGACCUAAGUUGGAAAGGCAAGACUCUAAAACUAGUCAAAGAAAUAUAAAAGAGCAUGUUUACAAUCUUAGGAUGAGGAAGGAUUUUAAGGAGAUAGAAAAAGCACAGACUAUAACUGGAAAGAUGAAUAAAUUUGACCACAACAAAAUAUUAAACUUCUAUACCUCAAAAGAUGCCAUUAAAAAAGUGAAAAUGCAAGCCACAGACUGAAAAAUACAUGAGGGAUAGAAAGAUAGACAUAGAUUAGAUAGAUAGAUAGAUAGAUAGAUAGAUAGAUAGAUAGAUAGAUAGAUAGAUAGAUAGAUAGAUAGAUAGAUGAUAGAUAGAUAGUCAGACAGAUAAUCAUUGACGUUCCAUAUGUAGAAAAUAUAAAGAACUCCACAAAUCAUUAAGAAUUUUUUUUUCCAGUAGAAAAAUGGGAGGGAAUUUAUCAAGAGGAACUAGACUGGGCAAAUACUCCAAUGAAAAGAUGCUCAACCUCAUUAGU
This 5442-nucleotide long non-coding RNA is filed under the name Sus scrofa (pig). RNAcentral describes it as "lncRNA (ENSSSCG00045021704.1)". Lineage: Eukaryota; Metazoa; Chordata; Mammalia; Artiodactyla; Suidae. The record is from RNAcentral.